CUUACCUAAGAUUAUUAAUUAAAUUCAUAUUUUUAACCUAGUUGUCCUGUUUGAUGAUAUCUUGAAUUGUAGGUUAUUGUUUCGAGUUAUUUCAAUGGUUUUAGAAAGUUAGGAUUCUGAGCUUGAUAAAAGAAUAAAAUACUUUGAACACUUGAUGUGUGCAGUAUACCAUCUAGUUGUUCAAGGUCCAUGGGCCGCCGACUAUAGAUUCUUUUGCUAUGGACCAACACAAACAAAUUUUGUUGUUAUGACCUGAUUAGUCAAAGUUUAAUCUGUUUAUUUGAAACAGAUUUGGA
Molecule: long non-coding RNA, 296 nt
Filed under: Phaseolus vulgaris (common bean)
Lineage: Eukaryota; Viridiplantae; Streptophyta; Magnoliopsida; Fabales; Fabaceae
Description: long non-coding RNA (PVUL_LNC001992)
Source: RNAcentral